RNAcentral lists this transfer RNA (72 nucleotides) under Dictyobacter arantiisoli. It matches the Rfam family "tRNA". From Rfam's summary of the family: Transfer RNA (tRNA) molecules are approximately 80 nucleotides in length. Their secondary structure includes four short double-helical elements and three loops (D, anti-codon, and T loops). The record is from Rfam by way of RNAcentral. Lineage: Bacteria; Bacillati; Chloroflexota; Ktedonobacteria; Ktedonobacterales; Dictyobacteraceae.
GUUCCCGUAGCUCAGUGGAUAGAGCACCGGUCUCCGAAACCGGUGGCGCUGGUUCAAUUCCAGUCGGGAACA